UCCGUAGGUGAACCUGCGGAAGGAUCAUUACAGAGUGCGGGAACCCAGUCGGGUCCCAAUCUCCCACCCGUGUCUACCACACCUAGUGUUGCUUUGGCGGGCCCACUCCUCCGGUGUUCCGCCGGGGGGGUCGUCCCGGGGCGCGGUGUGCCCCCGGGGCCCGUGCCCGCCAGAGGCACUCACUGUGAACGCUUUUGAGAAUGCGAGGAUUGUCUGAGUGACGAAAUGCAAUCGUUCAAAACUUUCAACAAUGGAUCUCUUGGUUCCGGCAUCGAUGAAGAACGCAGCGAAAUGCGAUAAGUAAUGUGAAUUGCAGAAUUCUGUGAAUCAUCGAAUCUUUGAACGCACAUUGCGCCCUCUGGUAUUCCGGGGGGCAUGCCUGUCCGAGCGUCAUUGCGAACUCUCAAGCACGGCUUGUGUGUUGGGCCGCCGUCCCCUCGUUUGGAGGGGACGGGCCUGAAAGGCAGCGGCGGCGUCGCGUCCGGUCCUCGAGCGUAUGGGGCUCUGUCACGCGCUCAAGGAGGGGUCCGGCCGGGGCCAUAGCCUCUGAAGGUCAGUUCUUCCAAGGUUGACCUCGGAUCAGGUAGGAGUACCCGCUGAACUUAAGCAUAUCAAUAAGCGGAGGA
RNAcentral lists this ribosomal RNA (626 nucleotides) under uncultured Thermomyces. Its description in RNAcentral is "eukaryotic LSU rRNA". The stretch from base 240 to 393 matches the Rfam family "5.8S ribosomal RNA". Lineage: Eukaryota; Fungi; Ascomycota. The record is from RNAcentral.